AGAAAGCCGACCCACGGAAGCCCACUGAAAUGAAAGGAGCUGGCAUGCCGCAGCACAGCAGUACAUGCAAUUAAAAGGUGAAGACGUAAUCCAGGUCAACUGCUGGCCCCGGGCAAAACUCUCUGCAGUCUACAAAUUGCAAGCAAAGCGUGAGAGAGGAAUAAAGCCACAUGACACGAGGGAAGGAAGGGAGAUGACUUUCUGCCAUUUGGCGUAUGCAUUUUUGCUGGGGAGAAGCAAAGGAUGAGGGCCACGAUGACGGCUGACCCAUUUGAUUUGCCUGGAGGUUUUAUUGUGAAGAUCCAGCGUCAAUUCCAGUUCUCAGCCUUUGCUCCCAAGGUUGCAUAAGAACAGAAGAAUGUGCCAUGUGUCAACCGGAUCACCUUUAUCCUCAUGCCUGCUGACACUCUCAAAGAACUCCAAAAGGAAAGAAAACAAAUGUUUGCUGCCUCCCCGGAUCUGAGCCUUGUCUUCUCAAGAGCUGUUUCCAAACAUGAUCUGGCCCUGGAGAAAAUGUAUUGGCAGAGCUAUAAUUUUGACCUUUGUGAUCAAGAGACAAAUCCCAGGCGGAGCAGAAA
Long non-coding RNA from Hemicordylus capensis (graceful crag lizard), 578 nucleotides. RefSeq lists it as uncharacterized. The record is from RefSeq and is a predicted model, not a curated record. The transcript is spliced from 3 exons. NCBI's taxonomy places the organism in Eukaryota, Metazoa, Chordata, Lepidosauria, Squamata, Cordylidae.